RNAcentral lists this non-coding RNA (21 nucleotides) under Arabidopsis thaliana (thale cress). Lineage: Eukaryota; Viridiplantae; Streptophyta; Magnoliopsida; Brassicales; Brassicaceae. The record is from RNAcentral.
UGGUGGAGUUCUAGCUUUGCC